Long non-coding RNA from Rhinopithecus roxellana (golden snub-nosed monkey), 959 nucleotides. RefSeq lists it as uncharacterized. The transcript has 3 exons. The record is from RefSeq and is a predicted model, not a curated record. NCBI's taxonomy places the organism in Eukaryota, Metazoa, Chordata, Mammalia, Primates, Cercopithecidae.
UUUAACUCAGUGUUUCAACCUCUGCAUCCUGACUAGAUGACAUGUGAGUGGAGAUACUGACUGCCCCCUGUCCCGCCUCCAUCCCUAGGCUGGUCAUCUGGCUGUGAACCGCUGUCAUUUUUAAGUCUGCCAGUGACUUAGACAAUAACAAAAGGUUGCAUCCAGACUAACUUGGCCCACGUUAAGAACCCUGGGAGCUCAGCCCACAGAUCUCAAGAUGAGAGUGUAGUGCGCUAUCAAUUUCUACAACCUCAAAAACAGUGAAAAACAAAACCCCUGCUGCUCCUCGGCUACUUUAUUCUUAUCCACUGGGCGACAGCUGAUAGUAAGGUGUUGAGGGCACCCAGAAAAGAAGGAACAGCCCAGCUGACCAUGCUGGGAGGGGAACAAAGACAUCUGCUUUCUCACUAGGUAUUCAGUUUCAUCGCAACACUACUCAGUCUUUCAACUUUUAUUUUCUCUGGCUUCCCUGCCUGAUGAAGAAAGGAGACAGCCCCAGAGCUCUGCCUCCAGACCAGGUGCUUGAAAAACACAUCAUUCGUCUUGCAACACUGACUGUUUUCACAGCAAGAUGGGCCCUUUAGCUCUCCUCAUGAAAUGUGAGGCUGUGUGCCCUCUCUGCCUUCCUCUGACUGCAGGGGACCACUGGAUCCGCCAAGGAAAAACCACAAGUUUAAUAACAGCAGAACAAGACGUUACAGGAAGGACAGCACCUGUAUCCUCCACUUGCCCAGGAAGUGUCUGGAAUCCACCUGCUCUAGCCCAUCUGUACCCCAGAUCCCCACUUCUUCUUGCUAUGCAUCUGCAUGCCAUCAUCUAGUUCAGCAAAAGACCUUCUGAAGACUAUCUGCACAGAAGACACCUGAAGAUAGUAUUAAUAACUAAGAAAUAGUUUUUCAAUCUCAAAUAACUUUCUUCAUUUAUACAAAAAAAAGUUUAUUAAGAACAUUUUUACUCCA